CAGCAAUGUCACCUGCACCACUAACUGCUUAGCACCCCUGGCCAAGUUCAUCCAUGACAACUUUGGUGUCAUGGAAGGACUUAUGGCGACAGUCCACACAUCGCUGCCACCCAGAAGACUGUGGAUAGCCCCUCCAGGAAACUAUGCCAUGAGAGUCGCGGGGCUCUCCAUAAUGCCAUUCCUGCAUCUCCUGGCACUGUCAAGGCUAUGGGAAAUGUCAUCCCUGAGUUGAACAGGAGGCUUACUGGCAUGACGUUUCAUGUCCUCACUGCCAACAUGUUAUUUGUGGACCUGACUUGCCUAUGUAAAUCCUGCCAAAAAUGAUGACAUCAAGAAAGUGUUGAAGCAGCAUCGGAGUUCCCCUUCGAGGGCAUCUUGGGCUGCACUGAGAACCAGCUUGUCUCCUCUGACUUUAACUGCGACACCCACUCUUCCACCUUUGAUCCUGGGACUGGCAUUGCCCUCAAUGACCACUUUCUCAAGCUCAUUUUCUGGUAUGACAAUGAAUUUGGCUAUAGCAAAAGGGUGAUCGACCUCAUUGCCCACAGGGCCUUCAAAGAGUAAGAUCCCUGGACCACCAGCCCCAGCGAGAGCAUGAGAGGAAAACAGAGGCCCUCAGCUUCUGGGGAGUCCCUGCCACACUCAGUGCCCCACCACAAUGAGAAUCUCCCCUCCUCACAGUUUCCAUGCAGACCCUCUGAAGAGGGAGAGGCCUAGGGAGCCCCACCUUGUUGUGUACCAUCAAUAAAUUCUUCUGCGUUCAGCC
RNAcentral lists this long non-coding RNA (766 nucleotides) under Homo sapiens (human). Its description in RNAcentral is "non-protein coding lnc-ZNF697-4:1". Lineage: Eukaryota; Metazoa; Chordata; Mammalia; Primates; Hominidae. The record is from RNAcentral.